Molecule: ribosomal RNA, 198 nt
Filed under: uncultured bacterium
Lineage: Bacteria
Description: partial 16S ribosomal RNA
Rfam family: Bacterial small subunit ribosomal RNA
Source: RNAcentral
ACGCUCGACACCUACGGAAGGCAGCAGUGGGGAAUAUUGCACAAUGGGGGAAACCCUGAUGCAGCGACGCCGCGUGAAGGAUGAAGUAUUUCGGUAUGUAAACUUCUAUCAGCAGGGAAGAAAAUGACGGUACCUGACUAAGAAGCCCCGGCUAACUACGUGCCAUCAGCCGCGGUAAUCUGAGCGGGCUGGCAAGGC